AAGCGAAACACGGCUUAGGCCGUGUCUGCCCAGCGUGGUGACUGGGUACUGAUGAGCAGCCUAAG
This 65-nucleotide non-coding RNA is filed under the name Oceanospirillum multiglobuliferum. The record is from RNAcentral. Lineage: Bacteria; Pseudomonadati; Pseudomonadota; Gammaproteobacteria; Oceanospirillales; Oceanospirillaceae.